GAUCAAAUCAAGCGCGAGAAGGGCGUUUGGUGGAUGCCUUGGCAGUAAGAGGCGAUGAAAGACGUGGUACUCUGCGAUAAGCCAUGGGGAGCUGAGAACAAGCUUUGAUCCAUGGAUCUCUGAAUGGGGCAACCCACCUGACAUUCCAUCAUUGUUAGCCUUCGGGUUAUCAAUGGUGGGGUGAAACAGGUACUUUUACCCUGAAUACAUAGGGGUUUAAGGGCAAACCCGGGGAACUGAAACAUCUAAGUACCCGGAGGAAAGGAAAUCAACAGAUACUCCGCUAGUAGUGGCGAGCGAACGCGGAUCAGCCGAGCCUUGAGAGUGACUAGAACCGUCUGGAAAGUCGGGCAAGAUGGGUGACAGCCCCGUAUAGGAAGCUCAACAGGACGCAUUAAGUAGGGCGGGACACGUGAAAUCCUGUCUGAAGAUCGGGGGACCACCCUCGAAGGCUAAGUACUCCUUACUGACCGAUAGCGAACCAGUACCGUGAGGGAAAGGUGAAAAGCACCCCGACGAGGGGAGUGAAACAGUUCCUGAAACCGGACGCCUACAAGCAGUCGGAGGGGCCUUUAUUGAGCCCUGACGGCGUACCUUUUGUAUAAUGGGUCAACGACUUGGUCUUACGAGCAAGCUUAAGCCGGUAGGUGUAGGCGCAGCGAAAGCGAGUCUUAAAUGGGCGAAUGAGUUCGUGGGAUCAGACCCGAAACCAAGUGAUCUAGGCAUGUCCAGGAUGAAGUCAGGGUAACACCUGAUGGAGGUCCGAACCCACACCUGUUGAAAAAGGUCGGGAUGAGGUGUGCCUAGGGGUGAAAGGCCAAUCAAACUUGGAGAUAGCUGGUUCUCCGCGAAAGCUAUUUAGGUAGCGCCUCGGACGAAUACCUUGGGGGGUAGAGCACUGGAUGGGUGAUGGGGUCCCACAGACUUACUGAGCCUAACCAAACUCCGAAUACCCAAGAGUACUAUCCGGGAGACACACGGCGGGUGCUAACGUCCGUCGUGGAGAGGGAAACAACCCUGACCAACAGCUAAGGCCCCCAAUUCGUGGCUAAGUGGGAAAGCAUGUGGGACGACCAAAACAACCAGGAGGUUGGCUUAGAAGCAGCCAUCCUUUAAAGAUAGCGUAACAGCUCACUGGUCUAGACAAGUUGUCCUGCGGCGAAGAUGUAACGGGGCUCAAGCCACGAGCCGAAGCUUUGGGUGCACGCAAGUGCGCGGUAGCGGAGCGUUCCGUGAUAUGGUUCCACGCCUCUUGUGCCUCUACGGAAGCAUCGGAGGCUCGGAGCUGACUGUGAAGCCGGGCUGCAAGGCAUCCGGUGGAGUGAUCGGAAGCGAGAAUGUUGACAUGAGUAGCGACAAACAGGGUGAGAGACCCUGUCGCCGAAAGUCCAAGGGUUCCUGCUUAAAGCUAAUCUGAGCAGGGUAAGCCGGCCCCUAAGGCGAGGCAGAAAUGCGUAGUCGAUGGGAACCAGGUUAAUAUUCCUGGGCCAGGAGAUGGUGACGGAUCCCGAGGGUCGUUCGAUCUUAACGGAUUGAUCGGGCUGCUUAGGGGUUCCUGGAAAUAGCCCUCCACAAGACCGUACCCUAAACCGACACAGGUGGACUGGUAGAGAAUACCAAGGCGCUUGAGAGAACCACAUUUAAGGAACUCGGCAAAAUACCUCCGUAAGUUCGCGAGAAGGAGGCCCGGUCAGCAGGCAACUGUCGGCCGGGGGCACAAACCAGGGGGUGGCGACUGUUUACUAAAAACACAGGGCUCUGCGAAGUCGCAAGACGACGUAUAGGGUCUGACGCCUGCCCGGUGCUGGAAGGUUAAAAGGAGGGGUGCAAGCUCCGAAUUGAAGCCCCAGUAAACGGCGGCCGUAACUAUAACGGUCCUAAGGUAGCGAAAUUCCUUGUCGGGUAAGUUCCGACCUGCACGAAUGGCGUAACGAUCUGGGCGCUGUCUCGGCUGGAGGCUCAACGAAAUUGCAGUAGCGGUGAAAAUGCCGUUUACCCGCAGCAGGACGGAAAGACCCCGUGGACCUUUACUAUACCUUGGCAAUGAUACUCGGUGCAUGAUGUGUAGGAUAGGUGGGAGACUGUGAAGCGUGUACGCCAGUAUGCGUGGAGUCGCCCUUGAAAUACCACCCUUUAUGUACUGAUUAUCUAACCUGGCUGCUGUGUAGGCAGAGGGACAUUGCCAGGCGGGUAGUUUGACUGGGGCGGUCGCCUCCGAAAGAGUAACAGAGGCGCGCGAAGGUAUCCUCAGGUUGGUUGGACACCAACUGUCGAGUGCAAAGGCAUAAGGAUGCUUAACUGCGAGACUGACGAGUCGAGCAGGUGGGAAACCAGGUCUUAGUGAUCCGGUGGUUCCGAAUGGAAGGGCCAUCGCUCAACGGAUAAAAGGUACCCCGGGGAUAACAGGCUGAUCUCCCCCAAGAGUUCACAUCGACGGGGAGGUUUGGCACCUCGAUGUCGGCUCAUCACAUCCUGGGGCUGGAGCAGGUCCCAAGGGUUCGGCUGUUCGCCGAUUAAAGUGGUACGCGAGCUGGGUUCAGAACGUCGUGAGACAGUUCGGUCCUUAUCCGCUGUGGGCGCAGGAGGCUUGAGGGGGUCUGUCCCUAGUACGAGAGGACCGGGAUGGACAAACCUCUGGUGCGCCAAUUGUUCCGCCAGGAGCAUAGUUGGGUAGCCAUGUUUGGAAUGGAUAACCGCUGAAAGCAUCUAAGCGGGAAACCAGCCCCAAGAUAAGGCCUCCCGGAGCAUAAGCUCCCUAAAGGUUCGUUGGAGACUACGACGUUGAUAGGCUGGGUGUGUAAGCGUGGUGACACGUUGAGCUAACCAGUACUAAUUGACCGUGCGGCUUGACCUUUUUACCCUA
This 2863-nucleotide ribosomal RNA is filed under the name Candidatus Aminicenantota bacterium. RNAcentral's name for it is "Candidatus Aminicenantes bacterium 23S ribosomal RNA". It matches the Rfam family "Bacterial large subunit ribosomal RNA". Lineage: Bacteria; Candidatus Aminicenantota. The record is from RNAcentral.